Long non-coding RNA from Gadus chalcogrammus (walleye pollock), 546 nucleotides. RefSeq lists it as uncharacterized. The transcript is spliced from 3 exons. NCBI's taxonomy places the organism in Eukaryota, Metazoa, Chordata, Actinopteri, Gadiformes, Gadidae. The record is from RefSeq and is a predicted model, not a curated record.
CUGACAGAUGUUGCAGAGGAGCUGGACUUCCUGCUAGACCACUUCUCCUCUGUCUUAACAAGAAAUGGCUGUGAUUCCAAUCUGGCUGGGUAGGAGUAUCAAUCCAUGAAGACAUUAAUCUUCAGGAACUACAUGGACAAGUCUUACCAUGCCUUAUGGGAGAUGAUGGUAACAAAUUUGCCAUUCUGCUCUGAUCACAAGAACAUCCACCUACAUCUUGUGCACAUCAUGCUGGUCCUCCCGGUCUCCUCUGCUGUAUGUGAAAGGGGAUUUUCGGCUCAGAAGAGGAUUAAAUCUGAUGUCAGGGGGUCCCUACAUGUAAACACUGUGGAGGACUUGAUUCGAAUUAGCAUGGGGGGACCUAGUGUACAAGAGUUUGAUGCCAAGGGAGCUGUACAAACAUGGUUCAGUUCGAGUCAAAGGUCUAGUAGGCAAAAUUACAUGGGCUGGCCUUCUGAGCCUCCUAGUGGAACACAGGAGGAUCUGCUCUAAGUAAAGGUACAAGUUGUUUAGGCCUACUGGUUCUUGUGGAAUGUUAUUGGCCAG